Molecule: ribosomal RNA, 467 nt
Filed under: uncultured bacterium
Lineage: Bacteria
Description: partial 16S ribosomal RNA
Rfam family: Bacterial small subunit ribosomal RNA
Source: RNAcentral
GACGAACGCUGGCGGCGUGCUUAACACAUGCAAGUCGAACGGAAAGGCCUGCUUUUGUGGGGUGCUCGAGUGGCGAACGGGUGAGUAACACGCGAGUAACCUGCCCUUGACUUUGGGAUAACUUCAGGAAACUGGGGCUAAUACCGGAUAGGAGCUCCUGCUGCAUGGUGGGGGUUGGAAAGUUUCGGCGGUUGGGGAUGGACUCGCGGCUUAUCAGCUUGUUGGUGGGGUAGUGGCUUACCAAGGCUUUGACGGGUAGCCGGCCUGAGAGGGUGACCGGCCACAUUGGGACUGAGAUACGGCCCAGACUCCUACGGGAGGCAGCAGUGGGGAAUAUUGCACAAUGGGCGGAAGCCUGAUGCAGCAACGCCGCGUGCGGGAUGACGGCCUUCGGGUUGUAAACCGCUUUCGCCUGUGACGAAGCGUGAGUGACGGUAAUGGGUAAAGAAGCACCGGCUAACUACGUG